Molecule: RNA transcript, 988 nt
Organism: Galeopterus variegatus (Sunda flying lemur)
Lineage: Eukaryota; Metazoa; Chordata; Mammalia; Dermoptera; Cynocephalidae
Gene name: heat shock 70 kDa protein 6-like
Exons: 1
Source: RefSeq, a predicted model, not a curated record
GCCUUCUGCAACGACUCGCAGCGCCAGGCCACCAAGGACGUGGGUGCCAUCGUGGGGCUAAACGUGCUGAGGAUUAUCAAUGAGCCCACUGCGGCCGCUACCGCCUAUGGGCUGGACCGGCAGGGCGCCAGAGAGCGCAAAGUGCUCAUUUUUGACCUGGGCGGGGGCACCUUCGACGUGUCAGUCCUCAACAUCGAUGCCGGUGUCUUUGAGGUGAAGGCCACCGCUGGAGACACCCACCUAGGUGGAGAGGACUUCGACAAGCGGUUGGUGAGCCACUUCAUGGAGGAGUUCCGGUGGGAGCACGGCAGGGAUGUGAACGGGAAUAAGCGGGCCCUGCGAAGGCUGCGCAUGGCCUGUGAGUGCACCAAGCACACCCUGUCCUCCAGCACCCAGGCCACCCUGGAGAUAGACUCCCUGUUCGAAGGCGUAGACUUCUACACGUCCAUCACUCGUGCCCGCUUUGAGGAGCUAUGCCAGACCUCUUCCGCAGCACGCUGGAGCCUGUGGAGAAGGCCCUGUGGGAUGCCAAGCUGGACAAGGCACAGAUCCAUGACAUCGUCCUGGUGGGCGACUCCACCCGCAUCCCAAAGGUGCAAAGCUGCUGCAGAACUUCUUCAACGGCAGGGAUCUAAACAUGAGCAUCAACCCUGAUGAGGCCGUGGCCUAUGGGGCUGCGGUGCAGACGGCAGUGUUGCUGGGGGACAAGGGUGAGAAAGUGCAGGAUCUCCUGCUGCUGGAUGUGGCUCCCCUGUCCCUAGGGCCGGAGACAGCAGGUGAGGUGAUGACCACGCUGAUCCAGAGGAAUGCCACCAUCCCCACGAGGCAGACCCAGACCUUCACCACCUACUCUGACAACCAGCCUGGGGUCCUGAUCCAGGUGUAUGAGGGUGAGAGGGCCAUGACCAGGGACAACAACCUGCUGGGGUACUUUGAACUCAGUGGCAUUACCCCGGCCUCACGUGGAGUCCCCCAGAUCGAGGUGACC